Molecule: ribosomal RNA, 1415 nt
Filed under: uncultured bacterium
Lineage: Bacteria
Description: bacterial SSU rRNA
Rfam family: Bacterial small subunit ribosomal RNA
Source: RNAcentral
CGAGCGGCAAGGCCCUUCGGGGCCCCAGAGCGGCGGACGGGUGAGUAACGCGUGGACAACCUGCCCUUCGGUGGGGGAUAGCCUGCGGAAACGCAGGGUAAUACCGCAUGAGACGCAACGGGCGGAGGCCGGUUGCGGGAAAGGCCCCGAGGGGCCGCCGGGGGAUGGGUCCGCGUCCCAUUAGCUAGACGGCGGGGUGAAGGCCCACCGUGGCGACGAUGGGUAGCCGGCCUGAGAGGGUGGACGGCCACAUUGGAACUGAGACACGGUCCAGACUCCUACGGGAGGCAGCAGCUAAGAAUCUUCCGCAAUGGGCGAAAGCCUGACGGAGCGACGCCGCGUGGACGAUGAAGGCCGUGAGGUUGUAAAGUCCUUUUCGGGGGGGGGGAAUGAGGUCCGCAGGGAAUGGCGGGCCGAUGACGUGAACCCCGGAAUAAGCCCCGGCUAACUACGUGCCAGCAGCCGCGGUAACACGUAGGGGGCGAGCGUUGUUCGGAAUCAUUGGGCGUAAAGGGCGCGCAGGCGGCGAGGCAAGUCCGGUGUGAAAGUGCUCGGCUCAACCGAGUGAUGCGCUGGAAACUGCCCUGCUUGAGUACAGGAGGGGACGUCGGAAUUCCAGGUGUAGGGGUGAAAUCUGUAGAUAUCUGGAGGAACACCGGUGGCGAAGGCGGACGUCUGGCCAUGUACUGACGCUGAGGCGCGAAGGUGCGGGGAGCGAACAGGUUUAGAUACCCUGGUAGUCCGCACAGUAAACGGUGUGCACCAGGUGGCGGGGGGUAGCCCUCGGUACCGAAGCCAACGCAUUAAGUGCACCGCCUGGGGAGUAUGCUCGCAAGGGUGAAACUCAAAGGAAUUGACGGGGGCCCGCACAAGCGGUGGAGCAUGUGGUUUAAUUCGAUGAUACGCGAGGAACCUUACCAGGGCUUGACAUGGGCCGGGAGGCGGGUGAAAGUCCGCCGCCCUUCGGGGCCGGUCCACAGGUGCUGCAUGGCUGUCGUCAGCUCGUGCUGUGAAGUGUUGGGUUAAGUCCCGCAACGAGCGCAACCCCCGCCGCCCGUUACCAUCGAGUAACGUCGGGGACUCAGGCGGAACUGCCGGUGACAAACCGGAGGAAGGUGGGGACGACGUCAAGUCAUCAUGGCCCUUAUGUCCUGGGCUACACACGUGCUACAAUGGCAGGUACAGAGCGCAGCGAGGCCGCGAGGCGGAGCGAACCGCGAAAAGCCUGUCCCAGUACGGAUUGGGGUCUGCAACCCGACCCCAUGAAGUUGGAAUCGCUAGUAAUCGCGCAUCAGCAUGGCGCGGUGAAUACGUUCCCGGGCCUUGUACACACCGCCCGUCACACCAUCCGAGUCGGGGGCACCCGAAGUCGCCAGCCCAACCGCAAGGGGGGCGGUGCCGAAGGUACGCCUGGU